AACACUAAAAUUAAAGAAACCCCUCCAUUUCUUUAAUCCCAUUCUGCCGAAUUCAAAAAAGAAAACCAAGGGGUUCGGCCCCCUUUCUCCUUCUGAAAGGGCGCAGCGCCCAUCAUCGCAGCGCUUUCCCUCCCCUGUGCGCUCAUUGGCGACCGUCGGAAACUAGGUGUUGUUGCAGAUAUCUCGGAAGCACGAGGAGUGACAAAGAGGGACUGCUAGUAGCGCAUGUCUCGGAAGUGCGGUGGAUGGUGGAGUAGGACGUUGGUGAGAGGCGUGCGGCGCGAGGGCUCAAGCAACAGCUUUAGGUUUUUGUUUGUUUGGGCCUUGUUUGGGUUUAUUUUUGGGCCUGUAUUUUAGAUGUAAAUGGGUCUUGGGUUUUGGAGCUUUGGGCCCGGGCAUAAAUUUGGUCCUACAGCUGCCCCUCUUUGCUCAUUGUGGUGUAACGAGAAUAGAGAAAAGA
This is a long non-coding RNA of Gossypium arboreum, 460 nucleotides long. RefSeq lists it as uncharacterized. The record is from RefSeq and is a predicted model, not a curated record. NCBI's taxonomy places the organism in Eukaryota, Viridiplantae, Streptophyta, Magnoliopsida, Malvales, Malvaceae. The transcript is spliced from 2 exons.